RNAcentral lists this ribosomal RNA (264 nucleotides) under Rubrivivax sp. RNAcentral describes it as "partial 23S ribosomal RNA". It matches the Rfam family "Bacterial large subunit ribosomal RNA", at positions 2666 to 2925 of the family's 2925-position model. Lineage: Bacteria; Pseudomonadati; Pseudomonadota; Betaproteobacteria; Burkholderiales; Sphaerotilaceae. The record is from RNAcentral.
GAGAGCCUGCUCCUAGUACGAGAGGACCGGAGUGGACGCACCUCUGGUGUAUCGGUUGUCACGCCAGUGGCAUUGCCGAGUAGCUAUGUGCGGAAGAGAUAACCGCUGAAAGCAUCUAAGCGGGAAACUCGUCUCAAGAUUAGUCUUGCCGGGGCCCCGAGCCCCCUAAAGAGUCGUUCGAGACCAGGACGUUGAUAGGCCGGGUGUGGAAGCGCAGUAAUGCGUUCAGCUAACCGGUACUAAUUGCUCGUGAGGCUUGACCCU